This 768-nucleotide ribosomal RNA is filed under the name uncultured bacterium. RNAcentral's name for it is "bacterial SSU rRNA". It matches the Rfam family "Bacterial small subunit ribosomal RNA", at positions 740 to 1533 of the family's 1533-position model. The record is from RNAcentral.
CUGACGCUGAUGCACGAAAGCGUGGGGAUCGAACAGNAUUAGAUACCCUGGUAGUCCACGCCGUAAACGAUGAUAACUCGCUGUUGGCGAUACACAGUCAGCGGCUUAGCGAAAGCGUUAAGUUAUCCACCUGGGGAGUACGCUCGCAAGAGUGAAACUCAAAGGAAUUGACGGGGGCCCGCACAAGCGGAGGAACAUGUGGUUUAAUUCGAUGAUACGCGAGGAACCUUACCUGGGCUUAAAUGUGCCCUGACCGCUGGAGAAAUCUGGUUUUCCGCAAGGACAGGGUACAAGGUGCUGCAUGGUUGUCGUCAGCUCGUGCCGUGAGGUGUCGGGUUAAGUCCCAUAACGAGCGCAACCCCUACUGCCAGUUGCUAACAGGUCAAGCUGAGGACUCUGGCGGGACUGCCACCGUAAGGUGCGAGGAAGGCGGGGAUGACGUCAAAUCAGCACGGCCCUUAUGUCCAGGGCUACACACGUGUUACAAUGGCCGAUACAAAGGGCAGCUACCGGGCGACCGGAUGCCAAUCCCAAAAGUCGGUCUCAGUUCGGAUCGGAGUCUGCAACCCGACUCCGUGAAGCUGGAUUCGCUAGUAAUCGCGCAUCAGCCAUGGCGCGGUGAAUACGUUCCCGGGCCUUGUACACACCGCCCGUCAAACCAUGGGAGUUGGGGGUACCUGAAGUAUGUGACCGCAAGGAGCGUCCUAGGGUAAAACCAAUGACUGGGGUUAAGUCGUAACAAGGUAGCCGAAUCGAAUCCCGCGGCCG